CCCGUAACCCACUACAGGGAGGGGAAUAACACGUUGGAAACAGGUGCUAAUACCGCUAAUAACUAGUUAUGCCGCAUGGCAUAAGAGUGAAAGGCGCUUUCGGGUGUCGCUGAUGGAUGGACCCGCGGUGCAUUAGCUAGUUGGUGAGGUAACGGCUCACCAAGGCCACGAUGCAUAGCCGACCUGAGAGGGUGAUCGGCCACACUGGGACUGAGACACGGCCCAG
Molecule: ribosomal RNA, 226 nt
Filed under: uncultured bacterium
Lineage: Bacteria
Description: partial 16S ribosomal RNA
Rfam family: Bacterial small subunit ribosomal RNA
Source: RNAcentral